Molecule: non-coding RNA, 72 nt
Organism: Cordylochernes scorpioides
Lineage: Eukaryota; Metazoa; Arthropoda; Arachnida; Pseudoscorpiones; Chernetidae
Source: the annotation of a GenBank genome assembly
UCCAGGGUAGCCUAGUGGACAUGGCACCUGCCCGGUAAGCAGAAGGUUGUGCUUCGAUUCCCGCCCCUGGAC